UAGUCGUAACAAGGUAGCCGUAAGUCGUAACAGGGUAACCGUAAGUCGUAACAAGGUAACCGUAAGUCGUAACAAGGUAGCCGUAAGUCGUAACAAGGUAACCGUAGAGUUUGAUCAUGGCUCAUAUUGUAACGCUGGCGGCAUGCCUUACUCAUGCAAGUCGUAACAAGUAUUCUGAAUUCUUCUUACUAGCUUCUCGUGCCUAGGCUAGUUCUNNACCACNCNU
This 226-nucleotide ribosomal RNA is filed under the name uncultured Pseudomonas sp. RNAcentral's name for it is "partial 16S ribosomal RNA". The record is from RNAcentral. Lineage: Bacteria; Pseudomonadati; Pseudomonadota; Gammaproteobacteria; Pseudomonadales; Pseudomonadaceae.